AUGUCUCUCUUUCUCUGCCAAAGCUUCAUUACGAACAUCAACAUCACCCCAGCAAGGGAAAUACCACCAGCCACAAGUAGAGAGGCCGGGUGCCGAAUUCUCAGCAGUUUUUACCAGAACGGGGCUGCUGCACAAGAGACCCUGGUGAGCUCCCAGCUGGUGCAAGGCUGCAGGAUCUCUCCAGCUCUGCACACUCUGGCCCAGAACUUGCUGCUUGGACCACAGACCACUGUUUCUGAGAACUUGCCAAAAAAUAAACUGAGGUCCUAAUGCUGCUCAACAAAAAAAGUAGGAAAUAAAUCACAAGUCUCACACCUCCUUGGCAUGUUCCAAGCUCCACCAGAGUUUUCUUUUAUGGGUUAUCUUUUACCUGGUUUUGCAGCCGUGCCAGGAUGACCAAAGCAUUUAACACUCGGAGAGUGAUAACUGCUGUGAAGUUCCCCCCUUCUGAUCUGCCUCGAUAACACUCAAGGUGUGAUUAUCCCAUCCUUGCAUCGGACUACUGGCCUUUUGCUAAACCAAAACAAGCUAGGCCGUACUGAAAUUGAAAGACCUUCCUACUUCACAGCUGUUGUGCAAUUGAUGCUCAUCAAGGAUGGUUAAAGGCACAAGACAAAACACACCCUGCAUUUGAGGGUAAGGUGUAUUAACCUUUCCACUUGGAAUGCCUAAUUGCUCAAAUAUUGCCAACAUUGUUCAAACUGCCAGAUAUGUUAGGGAACAGGCAGAACUGGAGGGACAACUCUAUAUGAGGGGUAUGACAAAUUUAUUGGGUAAAUUGUAUGGGAGUGCUUAACCCUUCUCUCUGUUCUGUUUUUUGUAAGGACAGUUGCCAAGUAGAGUUGGUCAUGACUAAUUCAUAUGAGGAAACAACACGGAGAAGUUAAACAGCAACAACCAGUUUAAUUUCACUUGUUACCAGUAAGGCCUAACUUAAGUUUCAAAAGGAGAUGAAAGGUAAAUUUGCCAUUUGCUGUCUAUGUUUUAAAAGCUGCAAGAGAGCUUGAAGAGUGACAUGCUCUGUAGUACUAAUGCUACCUCUGUCCUUAGAGCAGAGGGAGGAGACAAACACUGUGUAAUUUCUGUGUAUACAAGGACAAAAAUUCUCCAAAGCAUCGGUUUUGUUUUGUUCCACCCCAUUCCUAGCUUUUAAAAAUCAUUCUAGAGGUACAUUAGAGGACUAGAGGACACAUAUGUGUCAAUGCCAAAACUGACCAAGAUGAUACAGGAACAUUUUCAUGGGGGAGAAGAAGGAAACAUAUCCCAAGCAUCAACUCUAGCAAACAAUGCAUCAGGUAUGAAUAUUUUACAGGUGGUACAACCAAUCACCAGCCACCUCUCUUCUGGUUUAUCUUCUUAUCUCCCCUGAAUCAAAGGGUACAACAAUGGUGACAGUGAGUGGAUGAGGUACUAUGUAUUUAGACAACAUUGUAGAAGAUGAUUUGUCAACAGGGAGACAGAAACCUUUCAUAAUGCUUGGAGGAAAAUUCACAGGGUAAUCCCAGGAUAAUAGAUUUUUAAUCCUAGGUUGUUUCCUUGUAUGAUACAAGAUAAUGAGUGGCACCCACUCCCUUGAACCUUUCUGUAACUUCCUUGAGAUGGGCCAUUUCCUUUUGAAAGAUGUUCAGCCCAAACUGAAACAUUUACCAAUUCCUUCAUCCCUGUGGCUAGAUCAUUAUUUUGCUAAAACUGAAUAGAGCAACACAAGAAUCUUUUCAAAGGCAGUAUAUGGAAUUGUUAUCCCUUUGAGCCAACUCUGGGAAGGCAAGCACUUGGCUGAGCUUUUGUAAAAUCAGGUUGCAACACAAUUCUCUUCAUUUAAAAUGCUUCUGAUUUAAAUGUCCACCAGUCUUGAUUUAAAUGUCCAUUACAUGGGUUGUAGUUGAAGACCAUCCUCAAUGAGGCUGCGAAUGGGCUGAUCUGCCCUCUGCUGAGCCGGGUGAAUCUCUGUGAAGAGCCUGAAGGCAAAUGGCCCUUGCAUACAUUAGCAGCUCAGCAAUUUUCUCAGCAUCUACAAAAAAGCUGGGGGUGAUCACUUGGCAGUGAAAGGGACACUUUGCUAGCAUGGACCAAAUUAUUUUCUUCCCUGCUUGCCUGUAUCCAGGAUGUAUCAUGGAUGGAGAUGUCAGUGUGUUAACAAGAGCACCAGCUCCAUGUCACUGGAUUUUCAGCUGCAGGGAAAAGUAUUAGCAAAGGAAGAUGUUCAAAACAAGGAAAACCCUAAAAAAAUUAAUGAUUUGGUAAUAUCAAUCCAGCAAAAUACUGAAGGGGAGCUUUGGCAGGGUGGCAACAGGCUUCCAAGGAGCCAGAAAGCAUCAUGGAUGUUACAGUUUGUCAUGUCAUGGGUGAAAUUUCGUGCCUGAGAGUAAAGUCGAAGAUGAGAAACUCUGGACCUUUCAAUGUGGGAGAGCUGAAUCUAUCAAAAUAGUUUCAGUUUGCAUCUACAGACUGUGAAAAGAUGUUCUUCAUUUUUUUUUCUUUUUCUCUCUCUUAGUAUUUUAUUUCACCCUUGCCCUUAGUUGUGUGGGUUCACUUACUAGGCACC
Ficedula albicollis (Collared flycatcher) is the source of this 2545-nucleotide long non-coding RNA. The record is from Ensembl. NCBI's taxonomy places the organism in Eukaryota, Metazoa, Chordata, Aves, Passeriformes, Muscicapidae.